Long non-coding RNA from Rhinichthys klamathensis goyatoka, 280 nucleotides. RefSeq lists it as uncharacterized. The record is from RefSeq and is a predicted model, not a curated record. NCBI's taxonomy places the organism in Eukaryota, Metazoa, Chordata, Actinopteri, Cypriniformes, Leuciscidae. The transcript has 2 exons.
ACAGUGACUGUUCUCUGAAAACUAUUUCAGUGAAGUGGAAGAUUUUAACCGACAAAUUGACAAACAAUUGAGGAAAGAAGGGAGACCAUUCAAUUGAUGGGUGUUGCUCUUACAUUUACACAUUUGGAGUUUGGAAUUAGAUAGUUGAAGCCAUUCUUGCAGCAACUGGUGGAAAAGGGGAUCUUUUUGGUGCUUUUGUUCUAGCACAAAUAAUUUUGUUCUUUCAUAUAAUAUAAAUAAAUACAUGUGUAUAUAUAAAUAAAUUCAUGCUUGAAUCAUU